Molecule: ribosomal RNA, 584 nt
Filed under: Pseudomonas sp. StFRB001
Lineage: Bacteria; Pseudomonadati; Pseudomonadota; Gammaproteobacteria; Pseudomonadales; Pseudomonadaceae
Also listed under: 1 other name
Description: bacterial SSU rRNA
Rfam family: Bacterial small subunit ribosomal RNA
Source: RNAcentral
ACGGGUGAGUAAUGCCUAGGAAUCUGCCUGGUAGUGGGGGAUAACGUUCGGAAACGAACGCUAAUACCGCAUACGUCCUACGGGAGAAAGCAGGGGACCUUCGGGCCUUGCGCUAUCAGAUGAGCCUAGGUCGGAUUAGCUAGUUGGUGAGGUAAUGGCUCACCAAGGCGACGAUCCGUAACUGGUCUGAGAGGAUGAUCAGUCACACUGGAACUGAGACACGGUCCAGACUCCUACGGGAGGCAGCAGUGGGGAAUAUUGGACAAUGGGCGAAAGCCUGAUCCAGCCAUGCCGCGUGUGUGAAGAAGGUCUUCGGAUUGUAAAGCACUUUAAGUUGGGAGGAAGGGCAGUUACCUAAUACGUGAUUGUUUUGACGUUACCGACAGAAUAAGCACCGGCUAACUCUGUGCCAGCAGCCGCGGUAAUACAGAGGGUGCAAGCGUUAAUCGGAAUUACUGGGCGUAAAGCGCGCGUAGGUGGUUCGUUAAGUUGGAUGUGAAAUCCCCGGGCUCAACCUGGGAACUGCAUUCAAAACUGUCGAGCUAGAGUAUGGUAGAGGGUGGGUGGAAUUUCCUGUGUAGCGG